CCCAAAGUGACUCAGUGGUAAAGGACCUGCCUGUCAAGUAGGAGAUGCAGGUUCGAUCCCUGGGUUGGGA
Molecule: transfer RNA, 70 nt
Filed under: Bos taurus (domestic cattle)
Lineage: Eukaryota; Metazoa; Chordata; Mammalia; Artiodactyla; Bovidae
Also listed under: 4 other names
Rfam family: tRNA
About the family: Transfer RNA (tRNA) molecules are approximately 80 nucleotides in length. Their secondary structure includes four short double-helical elements and three loops (D, anti-codon, and T loops).
Source: Rfam by way of RNAcentral